CAUAUCAAUCGAUGAUUUUAUGAAUAGUGACAAAUGGUGAUCUUCAGUUACACUAAUCUGCGUCAGCUCUACUCUGUCCCCGUUUCACAAAAUGGAGGAUUCAACUCUCCCUCUGCAGGGGAGCACGUUAUCGGGAGAGCAGACUUAAAGGGCCAGAACCACUUUUUUUCACAUACAUGUUGCAGUUGAAUACAAAGACUCAAAUAAACGAAAAUCAAAUGAAAACAUAUUAUUUUCCCCCAAAAGAAAACACUUCCCUUUCUUUUAUGAAUUUAAAGGAAAUUUUUUUUAAU
Long non-coding RNA from Sinocyclocheilus rhinocerous, 293 nucleotides. RefSeq lists it as uncharacterized. The record is from RefSeq and is a predicted model, not a curated record. Lineage: Eukaryota; Metazoa; Chordata; Actinopteri; Cypriniformes; Cyprinidae. The transcript has 3 exons.